RNAcentral lists this ribosomal RNA (492 nucleotides) under uncultured bacterium. RNAcentral's name for it is "partial 16S ribosomal RNA". It matches the Rfam family "Bacterial small subunit ribosomal RNA", at positions 29 to 507 of the family's 1533-position model. The record is from RNAcentral.
AGUGAACGCUGGCGGUAGGCCUAACACAUGCAAGUCGAACGGCAGCACAGUAAGAGCUUGCUCUUACGGGUGGCGAGUGGCGGACGGGUGAGGAAUACAUCGGAAUCUACUUUUUCGUGGGGGAUAACGUAGGGAGACUUACGCUAAUACCGCAUACGACCUACGGGUGAAAGCAGGGGGUCUUCGGACCUUGCGCGAUUGAAUGAGCCGAUGUCGGAUUAGAUAGUUGGCGGGGUAAAGGCCCACCAAGGCGACGAUCCGUAGCUGGUCUGAGAGGAUGAACAGCCACACUGGAACUGAGACACGGUCCAGACUCCUACGGGAGGCAGCAGUGGGGAAUAUUGGACAGUGGGCGCAAGCCUGAUCCAGCCAUACCGCGUGGGUGAAGAAGGCCUUCGGGUUGUAAAGCCCUUUUGUUGGGAAAGAAAAGCAGCAGGUUAAUACCCCGCUGUUCUGACGGUACCCAAAGAAUAAGCACCGGCUAACUUCGUG